Echinops telfairi (small Madagascar hedgehog) is the source of this 516-nucleotide long non-coding RNA. RefSeq lists it as uncharacterized. NCBI's taxonomy places the organism in Eukaryota, Metazoa, Chordata, Mammalia, Afrosoricida, Tenrecidae. The record is from RefSeq and is a predicted model, not a curated record. The transcript has 3 exons.
CAGUAAGUCCCAGACACAGGAACCUCUCAGCUGUGUGGGACACCACCUUCACCCCUGAUGAGAUGAACGACAUCUCAUUUUGCUGUGGCUGAGAGCAAAGUCCGAGGGCGUCCUGCUUGUGGGGGCCCUCAGAGCAGGAUGAAAACCAGGAUGUGUACAUGGCCCUUCGAAGUCAAGUGGACGUCCGGUGACCAUGAGCUGGCAAGCAGGGAGAAGAAAGACAGCCACCCAAGGACAGAGGCCGGCCAAACGGGAAGAAUGCAGCCUCUGGGGAUGAUGCAUGCCAUUGGACUGCCACCAGCCACAGCCCCUCCUUCGCCUUCUCCAGAGUUCCUGUUAUGUGGCAAGACCGGAUGCAGUGCUGCAGAUAGAUGCUCUCUCGUCUGUGCCAAGAAAUCUGGAAGAUAGGAACCUGGCAAACUGCCCGGACAAAAUCCAUUCCAGAGAAAGAUGAUCCAACGGAAGGCUGACAUGAUUCAAUAAUGUCACUAGUACACUUCUGAAGAAGGUAAUUUA